AUCUGGUUGAUCCUGCCAGUAGUCAUACGCUCAAGUCAAAGAUUAACCCAUGCAUGUGCAAGUAUAAACAUUUAUACUGUGAAACUGCGAACGGCUCAUUAUAUCAGCUAUAGUCUAUUUGGUAAUGUCUACUACUUGGAUACUCGUAGUAAUUCUAGGGUCAAUACAUGCAUAAAUGCCCAACUUUUCGGACGGGCAGUAUUUAUUUGAUAUAAACCAAUCGCUUCUGGCGUUUUGUGGUGAUUCAAAGUAACUAAGCGGACCGCAGUGCCUUUUGGCGGCGGUGGACCAUUCGAGUUUCUGCCCUAUCAGUUGUCGUAGGUAGUGUAUUGGACUACCUAGACCUUUACGGGUGACGGAGAAUUGGGGUUCGAUUCCGGAGAAGAAGCCUGAGAGACGGCUACUACAUCCAAGGAAGGCAGCAGGGGCGCAAAUUACCCAAUGGUGACACGCCGAGGUAGUGACAACCAAUAUCGUUGCGGAGCCCUUAUGGGUUUUGCUAUGAAAUGAGUGCAAUCUAAAAUACUCAACGAGGAUCAAUUGGAGGGCAAGUCUGGUGCCAGCAGCCGCGGUAAUUCCAGCUCCGUUAGCGUAUAUUAAAUUUGUUGCAGUUAAAAAGCUCG
This 623-nucleotide ribosomal RNA is filed under the name Mucochytrium quahogii. RNAcentral describes it as "labyrinthulid quahog parasite QPX partial Eukaryotic small subunit ribosomal RNA". It matches the Rfam family "Eukaryotic small subunit ribosomal RNA", at positions 1 to 630 of the family's 1831-position model. The record is from RNAcentral. Lineage: Eukaryota; Bigyra; Thraustochytrida; Thraustochytriidae.